GCUGGGCGUAGUGGCGCAUGCCUGUAAUCCCAGCUACUUGGGAGGCUGAGGCAGGAGAAUUGCUUGAAUCAGGGAGUUGGAGGUUGCAGUGAGUGGAGAUCGCACCACUGCACUCCAGCCUAGGUGACAGAGUGAGACUCUGUCUCAA
This 148-nucleotide non-coding RNA is filed under the name Gorilla gorilla gorilla (western lowland gorilla). The record is from Rfam by way of RNAcentral. Lineage: Eukaryota; Metazoa; Chordata; Mammalia; Primates; Hominidae.